UAGCUCAGUUGGUAGAGCAUGAGAUUCUUAAUCUCAGGGUCAUGGGUUUGAGCCCAA
This 57-nucleotide transfer RNA is filed under the name Neotoma lepida (desert woodrat). It matches the Rfam family "tRNA", at positions 8 to 63 of the family's 71-position model. Rfam says of the family: Transfer RNA (tRNA) molecules are approximately 80 nucleotides in length. Their secondary structure includes four short double-helical elements and three loops (D, anti-codon, and T loops). The record is from Rfam by way of RNAcentral. Lineage: Eukaryota; Metazoa; Chordata; Mammalia; Rodentia; Cricetidae.